Molecule: transfer RNA, 69 nt
Filed under: Rattus norvegicus (Norway rat)
Lineage: Eukaryota; Metazoa; Chordata; Mammalia; Rodentia; Muridae
Rfam family: tRNA
About the family: Transfer RNA (tRNA) molecules are approximately 80 nucleotides in length.
Source: Rfam by way of RNAcentral
GGGAAUGUAAUUCAGUAGGAGAAUGUUUGCCUGGUAUACAAAAGGUCCCGGGUUCAAGUCCCCACCCCA